AUAACAAUGUCGGGGCCCAUAAAGCCUCGGCAAUUGGAAUGAGUACAAUUUAAAUCCCUUAACAAGGAACAACUAGAGGACAAGUCCGGUGCCAGCACCCGCGGUAAUUCCGGCUCUAGUAGCGUAUAUUAAAGUUGUUGCAGUUAAAAAGCUCGUAGCCAGAAUUCGGGACGCGCGUCGACGGUUGGCCGAAAGGCUGAACGGAGUGCGUGUUCUUAUCCGUCUGUGAUGCUUCCUGCGCUUAACUGAGCGGGUUUGUCGUCCAGGCGCGUUUACCUUGAGCAAAUUGGAGUGUUUAAGGCAGGUUAAAAAGCUCGUACACGUUAGCAUGGGAUAAUGAAAUAUGGUUUCCCCGCGCCUUUGUCGGCCGAUGCGGGGAGGCAAUGAUCAAUAGGGGCUGUCGGGGCGCUUCAUAUGCAGCGGCGAGAGGUGAAAUUCUUGGACCCCCUGCAGAUGCACAGAUGCGAAGGCGUUGCGCUAGUAUGCCUCCAUUGGUCAAGAACGAAAGUUAAGGGAGCGAAGACGAUCAGAUACCGUCGUAGUCUUAACAGUAAACGAUGUCGACCAGGGAUCGGGGAAGGCCCCAUGGAGGCCGCCUCGGAACCUUGAGGGAAACCAGAGUUCUUGGAUUCUGGGGGGAAUAUGGUCGCAAGGCUGAAACUUAAAGGAAUUGACGGAACGGUACGCCAGGAGUGGAGCCUGCGGCUUAAUUUGACCCAACACGGGAAAACUCACUCGGUCCGGACAUAGUAAGGAUUGACAGAUUGAAGUUCUUUCUUGAUUCUAUGGGUGGUGGUGCAUGGUCGUUCUUAGUUCGUGGAGUGAUCUGUCUGGUUAAUUCCGCUAACGGACGAGACCUCUCUUUAUUAACUAGCCUGGUCGGUUGUCGAAGCGGGUGAAGCGUUUGAGCACGUUGGGACUUCGGUUCUGGCUGCCUGGGCGUGGAACUCGGACAUACCGAGCCAGCGCUUCUUAGGAGUACAAUCUGCGGUUUAGCAGAAGGGAGCUAGAGGCAAUAACAGGUCUGUGAUGCCCUUAGAUGUUCGAGGCUGCACGCGCGCUACAAUGGUGCGUUUAACAAGUACCUUGGCCGAAAGGUCCGGGAAAUCAAAAGUAUGCAUCUUGCUGGGGAUAGAUGAUUGCAAUUAUUCGUCUUCAGCGAGGAAUUCCUAGUAAGCGCGCUUCAUCAGAGCGUGCUGACUGCGUCCCUACCGUUUGUACACACCGCCCGUCGCUCCUACCGAUUGAAUGAUCCGGUGAAAUCUACGGAUGGGCUCGCACGCUGGGGCAACCCAGUAGCGGGACCAGAAGUUGGGUAAACCAUAUUGUUUAGAGGAAGGAGAAGUCGUAACAAGGUUUCCGUGGGUGAACCUGCGGAAG
This 1380-nucleotide ribosomal RNA is filed under the name metagenome. RNAcentral's name for it is "SSU rRNA". It matches the Rfam family "Eukaryotic small subunit ribosomal RNA", at positions 477 to 1823 of the family's 1831-position model. The record is from RNAcentral.